This 300-nucleotide ribosomal RNA is filed under the name uncultured Methanosarcina sp. RNAcentral's name for it is "bacterial SSU rRNA". It matches the Rfam family "Bacterial small subunit ribosomal RNA", at positions 496 to 795 of the family's 1533-position model. Lineage: Archaea; Methanobacteriati; Methanobacteriota; Methanomicrobia; Methanosarcinales; Methanosarcinaceae. The record is from RNAcentral.
GCUAAGUCCGGGGCAGGAGCCGCGGUAAUACGUAGGUUCCAAGGGUUAUCCGGAAUCAUUGUGGUUAACGGGUCCGGAGGCGGCCUUAUAAGUCAGCGGUGAAAGUUUUUGGCUUAACCAAAAAAUUGCCAUUGAUACUGUAGGGCUGGAAUAUUUGUGAAGUAACUAGAAUAUGUAGUGUAGCGGUGAAAUGCUUAGAUAUUACAUGGAAUACCAAUUGCGAAGGCAGGUUACUAACAAAUGAUUGACGCUGAUGGACGAAAGCGUGGGUAGCGAACAGGAUUAGAUACCCCUGUAGUC